Nanorana parkeri is the source of this 191-nucleotide long non-coding RNA. RefSeq lists it as uncharacterized. The transcript is spliced from 2 exons. The record is from RefSeq and is a predicted model, not a curated record. Lineage: Eukaryota; Metazoa; Chordata; Amphibia; Anura; Dicroglossidae.
UGACCUCUACAUAGGCAGGGCGAAGCCAGUGGAAACUCUGGUGGAGGUCCGCAGCGGUCCUGACGUGCAAAUCAGUCGUCCGACCUGGGUAUAGGGGCGAAAGACUAAUCAAACCAUCUAGUAGCUGGUUCCCUCCGAAGUUCCCCUCAGGAUAGCUGGCGCUCGGGCCUUCUGAGUUUUAUCCUAUAAAG